GCCUCCAUAGCCUAAUGGUGAGGGCGCCAGACUUCUAAUCUGGAGAUUCCGAGUGACCCUCGGUGGAGGCU
This is a non-coding RNA of Arachnomyces sp. PD_36, 71 nucleotides long. The record is from the annotation of a GenBank genome assembly. NCBI's taxonomy places the organism in Eukaryota, Fungi, Ascomycota, Eurotiomycetes, Onygenales, Arachnomycetaceae.